UAAACGGUUCUUUUUAGAACCACCAAUUUAUUUUACGGUGGAACAU
This is a non-coding RNA of Solenopsis invicta (red fire ant), 46 nucleotides long. The record is from Rfam. Lineage: Eukaryota; Metazoa; Arthropoda; Insecta; Hymenoptera; Formicidae.